GAUGAUCGCUGGCGGCGUGCCUAAUACAUGCAAGUCGAGCGAACGGACGAGAAGCUUGCUUCUCUGAUGUUAGCGGCGGACGGGUGAGUAACACGUGGAUAACCUACCUAUAAGACUGGGAUAACUUCGGGAAACCGUAGCUAAUACCGGAUAAUAUUUUGAACCGCAUGGUUCAAAAGUGAAAGACGGUCUUGCUGUCACUUAUAGAUGGAUCCGCGCUGCAUUAGCUAGUUGGUAAGGUAACGGCUUACCAAGGCAACGAUGCAUAGCCGACCUGAGAGGGUGAUCGGCCACACUGGAACUGAGACACGGUCCAGACUCCUACGGGAGGCAGCAGUAGGGAAUCUUCCGCAAUGGGCGAAAGCCUGACGGAGCAACGCCGCGUGAGUGAUGAAGGUCUUCGGAUCGUAAAACUCUGUUAUUAGGGAAGAACAUAUGUGUAAGUAACUGUGCACAUCUUGACGGUACCUAAUCAGAAAGCCACGGCUAACUACGUG
This 497-nucleotide ribosomal RNA is filed under the name uncultured bacterium. RNAcentral's name for it is "partial 16S ribosomal RNA". It matches the Rfam family "Bacterial small subunit ribosomal RNA", at positions 28 to 507 of the family's 1533-position model. The record is from RNAcentral.